This 471-nucleotide ribosomal RNA is filed under the name uncultured bacterium. Its description in RNAcentral is "bacterial SSU rRNA". It matches the Rfam family "Bacterial small subunit ribosomal RNA", at positions 30 to 496 of the family's 1533-position model. The record is from RNAcentral.
AUUGAACGCUGGCGGCAGGCCUAACACAUGCAAGUCGAGCGGUAGAGAGGUGCUUGCAUCUCUUGAGAGCGGCGGACGGGUGAGUAAUGCCUAGGAAUCUGCCUAGUGGUGGGGGAUAACGUUCGGAAACGGACGCUAAUACCGCAUACGUCCUACGGGAGAAAGCGGGGGAUCUUCGGACCUCGCGCCAUUAGAUGAGCCUAGGUCGGAUUAGCUAGUUGGUGAGGUAAUGGCUCACCAAGGCGACGAUCCGUAACUGGUCUGAGAGGAUGAUCAGUCACACUGGAACUGAGACACGGUCCAGACUCCUACGGGAGCAGCAGUGGGAAUAUUGGACAAUGGGCGAAAGCCUGAUCCAGCCAUGCCGCGUGUGUGAAGAAGGUCUUCGGGAUUGUAAAGCACUUUAAGUUGGGAGGAAGGUAGUAACCUAAUACGUUGNUACUUUGACGUUACCGACAGAAUAAGCACCGG